Molecule: long non-coding RNA, 403 nt
Organism: Capra hircus (goat)
Lineage: Eukaryota; Metazoa; Chordata; Mammalia; Artiodactyla; Bovidae
Exons: 2
Source: RefSeq, a predicted model, not a curated record
CCAGGGGAUCUUCCCAACUCAGGGAUCGAACCUAGUCUCCCACAUUGUGGGCAGAUUCUUUACAUUCUGAGCCACCAGAGAAGCCCAGGAAAAAGGCUACAGCCUCUAAAAACUUCCCUGUCCAUGGGAUUCUCCAGGAACUAAGGCCCCCACCAGGUGAAAGAAGGUAACUGCAGCCUGGGCGGGUUGGAACCAAAAAAGGAUGAUGAUUGAGAUUCAUGGAACAUUACACCCGUUUCCUUACCAUCAACCAGUCAGAGAAAGGUCACAACCCUGUAGACUUUUCUCCAAAUUUUGCCCAUAAAGACUCUUCCUUGAAACCCUUCUGAGAGUUUGAGCUUACUGAUCAUGAACCACCUGUUGCCUUUGUUUGGCCCUGCAAUAAAUCUGCUCUAAAUGCUGA